UAAAAUGGCCGAAUUUCAAUGGAAAACGGGGGAACCGGUUUUUUGGGGUGAAUUUUGCUAAAUCUUACGAGCCGAGGCUUGGGGAGGAAGCGAAUAGGGCAACUGUGCAUGUCCGAAUCCGUCAGCUAACCUCGUAGGCCUUUGC
Molecule: small RNA, 145 nt
Filed under: Paenibacillus senegalimassiliensis
Lineage: Bacteria; Bacillati; Bacillota; Bacilli; Caryophanales; Paenibacillaceae
Description: ydaO/yuaA leader
Rfam family: c-di-AMP riboswitch aptamer (ydaO/yuaA leader)
About the family: This family represents a conserved RNA structure found upstream of the ydaO and yuaA genes in Bacillus subtilis and related genes in other bacteria. The ydaO/yuaA element is thought to act as a genetic "off" switch for the ydaO and yuaA genes in its native state.
Source: RNAcentral